This 554-nucleotide ribosomal RNA is filed under the name uncultured bacterium. Its description in RNAcentral is "partial 16S ribosomal RNA". It matches the Rfam family "Bacterial small subunit ribosomal RNA", at positions 355 to 900 of the family's 1533-position model. The record is from RNAcentral.
UAGGGAAUCUUCCACAAUGGACGCAAGUCUGAUGGAGCAACGCCGCGUGAGUGAAGAAGGUUUUCGGACCGUAAAGCUCUGUUGUUGGUGAAGAAGGAUAGAGGUAGCAACUGGCCUUUAUUUGACGGUAAUCAACCAGAAAGUCACGGCUAACUACGUGCCAGCAGCCGCGGUAAUACGUAGGUGGCAAGCGUUGUCCGGAUUUAUUGGGCGUAAAGCGAGCGCAGGCGGAAGAAUAAGUCUGAUGUGAAAGCCCUCGGCUUAACCGAGGAAUUGCAUCGGAAACUGUUUUCUUGAGUGCAGAAGAGGAGAGUAGAACUCCAUGUGUAGCGGUGGAAUGCGUAGAUAUAUGGAAGAAUACCAGUGGCGAAGGCGGCUCUCUGGUCUGCAACUGACGCUGAGGCUCGAAAGCAUGGGUAGCGAACAGGAUUAGAUACCCUGGUAGUCCAUGCCGUAAACGAUGAGUGCUAAGUGUUGGGAGGCUUCCGCCUCUCAGUGCUGCAGCUAACGCAUUAAGCACUCCGCCUGGGGGAGUACGACCGCAAGGUUGAAAC